UGGGGAAUCUUGGACAAUGGGCGCAAGCCUGAUCCAGCCAUGCCGCGCGAGUGAAGAAGGCCCUAGGGUUGUAAAGCUCUUUCGGCGGGGACGAUAAUGACGGUACCCGCAGAAGAAGCCCCGGCUAACUCCGUGCCAGCAGCCGCGGUAAUACGGAGGGGGCUAGCGUUGUUCGGAAUUACUGGGCGUAAAGCGCACGUAGGCUGGUCGUUAAGUCGGGGGUGAAAUCCUGGGGCUCAACCUCAGAACUGCCUUCGAUACUGGCGUCCUUGAGUACGGGAGAGGUGAGUGGAAUUCCCAGUGUAGAGGUGAAAUUCGUAGAUAUUGGGAAGAACACCAGUGGCGAAGGCGGCUCACUGGCCCGUAACUGACGCUGAGGUGCGAAAGCGUGGGGAGCAAACA
RNAcentral lists this ribosomal RNA (402 nucleotides) under uncultured bacterium. RNAcentral's name for it is "bacterial SSU rRNA". It matches the Rfam family "Bacterial small subunit ribosomal RNA", at positions 355 to 774 of the family's 1533-position model. The record is from RNAcentral.